RNAcentral lists this long non-coding RNA (2059 nucleotides) under Nicotiana benthamiana. RNAcentral's name for it is "long non-coding RNA (NBEN_LNC029606)". Lineage: Eukaryota; Viridiplantae; Streptophyta; Magnoliopsida; Solanales; Solanaceae. The record is from RNAcentral.
GUAAUCAGCUUGCUCUCACAGUGCCUUAUUUCAGUUAUAUUACGUUCCAGCUUAUAAGAUGAACUCUUUUAUAUUGUAAUAUGCAUUUCUUGUUCAUUUUCUAUGUACAAAUAUUUGCAGAGUUGAAUAAAGUUAAAGAAUGACUAUGCAUACUGAUAUGACUAACUCAUCAUAAAAUUAACGUCACAAAUUUUAUUCAAUAAAUAUUAUAGCAAUGAUGCAUUUAAGAGUUGCUAUCAGAACAUUGUGGCCAAUGAAAUAUUGACCUAUCAACAUGAUGUUAAUUGUGAAAGAAAUGAUAUGAUCAUUCAGGCGAAAACAGUAAAGUAGUAGGUGGAGUAGGCCUAGGAUGUUAUGAAUUAUAUUAGGUGAACAUAAUAUUUCGAUGACGAACAGCUUUACUCUAACAAUUUGGAUGAUGCAUUCAACACCAUCAUGUACAAAGGACUAAUAGAAUAGUCCUUCCACUUUUUUGUCCAAGAACUUUAAGAGUAGUCAGAAGUCAUGUCUAGAUAAUACUUAGAACAACAACAACAACAACAACUAAAUAAAGCUGAAGAUGUGCUUCAAAUUCUAUUUUUCCAUUUCAUUCUUCGAUUCGAACCUCACACUAGACAAAAGUUCAAGGACGUGUACCUGAGUGUAGCAAAAACAAAUCCAGAAAAUUAGGCUAGAGAUUAAGAAGGAACAACAACAACAGUAAAUAAAUAAGGAAGCAACCAACAGAAUCAGCUAAAAACCCCAGCAAUGAAAAUAAUAGUGAAACCAGCUUAUAACCCAAACUUUAAAGAUCCAAAACUCAUUCUAUUUUGACUCAAAUGCAAGAUUUUGUCAUUUCAAUAAUUUAAACUGAGCAAUGAGGAUCAGAAACCAAAAACCGAGCAAAAUUUGAGUAGUUUUUAACAAGGAAAUUCAGGGAUAUUUCAGAAUGCCAGCCGUUUCAGUUUUUAGGAGUUUUUUUAUCUCUUGUCUCUGCCUUGCUAAGGAAGAAAGGAUGCCUUUAUAAGCAAGUCUUUAGGGCAGCAUAAAGAAAUCAGUUUUUACAUUUAAAACCUUUUUGAAUUUUUAUUUUUGCUUGAGUACCCUUAGUUUAAAAAUUAGUUUUUCAUGUAAGUCCUAAAGGCACCUUCCUAGUAGCUUCCUUAAUUAGUUAGGAGAGAUUCCAUAUCUUAAAUUUUCUAGUUUACCCCCUAGGACCAUGUUAUUUACCCCAAGGAACUCAUGGAUCAAUUCGACCCAAUGGUUUAAGCCAGCCUGAUUUUUACACGACUUGACCCAAGUCCGAGUCAGAAAUUUAGAAGAAUUGAGAAGGUAGAAAAUAAAAGGGCAAUUCGGAUUUCAACAAGACUUCUGAACCAAAUGCUCUCAACGGCUCAAAACUAAAGGAAACAAUCAAACAAAACUAACCUAAGGAAUUCAAACAAAACUAAAGAAGCUAAUAACUAACACUAAUCCUAAAUUAAAAGAAACACAUGCAGAGAUAAUUUUGAGAACACAUGAGAAAAAGAAGAGAAUAGAAGAAGAUAGGAGAAGAAAUGAAAAAAAAAGAACACUGAAAGUACCUAUUAAAACUAGGCGAACAAAAGUCUUGAACUAAAAUCUUCAAGGAAUCUUCAAUUUUUGACCGAAAUAGAACUUAAUCGUGUGUUUUCGACUGAAAACAUGCGACUAAAGUAGAUUUCAACCUCAAAUCUUUAAUAAACUCGCCGAUUUGAUUUUUGGAAUUUUAGGGUUCAUAUAUUCAAUUUAAUAUUCGAAGGUAACAAAGUAGAUAUUGGGAGAGGGAUAUUGUGUGGGUUCUAUGGUGUGGAUUUGGAGUGGAUUGGGAGUGGCGCCGCCGCCAGAGGAAGCUAUGGCGGCGCUAGGGUUGAGGUGUGUUCUCUGAAAUGGAAGGGAAAUGAGAGAGGUAAGGUGGAUGGGGAGGGUGGUGGUGGUGGUAGUAGGGCUUCAGAUAGUUAAAUAGUGAAGGGAUCCUUAGUUUACGAUCGUUUGAUUAAACGAGAUCAACGUUCCUGAAAGAAGGAUAUCAAAACGGUGUCGUUUGGAUCUCUGUGUUGGC